This 70-nucleotide transfer RNA is filed under the name Dipodomys ordii (Ord's kangaroo rat). It matches the Rfam family "tRNA". Rfam says of the family: Transfer RNA (tRNA) molecules are approximately 80 nucleotides in length. The record is from Rfam by way of RNAcentral. Lineage: Eukaryota; Metazoa; Chordata; Mammalia; Rodentia; Heteromyidae.
GGGAAUGUAGCUCAGUGGUAGAGUGCUUGCCUAAUAUGCAUGAAGUCCUAGGUUUGAUUCCUCAGUUCCA